This 583-nucleotide ribosomal RNA is filed under the name uncultured bacterium. Its description in RNAcentral is "partial 16S ribosomal RNA". It matches the Rfam family "Bacterial small subunit ribosomal RNA", at positions 355 to 937 of the family's 1533-position model. The record is from RNAcentral.
UGGGGAAUUUUGGACAAUGGGCGAAAGCCUGAUCCAGCAAUGCCGCGUGUGUGAAGAAGGCCUUCGGGUUGUAAAGCACUUUUGUCCGGAAAGAAAUCCUUGGCUCUAAUACAGUCGGGGGAUGACGGUACCGGAAGAAUAAGCACCGGCUAACUACGUGCCAGCAGCCGCGGUAAUACGUAGGGUGCAAGCGUUAAUCGGAAUUACUGGGCGUAAAGCGUGCGCAGGCGGUUUGCUAAGACCGAUGUGAAAUCCCCGGGCUCAACCUGGGAACUGCAUUGGUGACUGGCAGGCUAGAGUAUGGCAGAGGGGGGUAGAAUUCCACGUGUAGCAGUGAAAUGCGUAGAGAUGUGGAGGAAUACCGAUGGCGAAGGCAGCCCCCUGGCAAGUACUGACGCUCAUGCACGAAAGCGUGGGGAGCAAACAGGAUUAGAUACCCUGGUAGUCCACGCCCUAAACGAUGUCAACUAGUUGUUGGGGAUUCAUUUCCUUAGUAACGUAGCUAACGCGUGAAGUUGACCGCCUGGGGAGUACGGUCGCAAGAUUAAAACUCAAAGGAAUUGACGGGGUCAUAGCUGUUUCC